UACACGUGUCCAGUUGCUCUGCACAUGCGAAAGGUCCUUCUCCUCGGAAGGGCACCUUGGCUUUGGGGGUGGGGGUGGGGAGCCGCUUUGGGAGGCGGCGGCGAAGAAAGAGAGUGCCGUCGAACAAGGUCGCCGUCUGUAAGGUGCGAAACCCAGUGGGAACACGGAGGGAAGCCCAGAUCCCAAGGCAAGGUUGGGUUGGGGGCGAAGGGGGAGCCCUCGAGGUCCCCAUCCCCGGGAGGGGGCAGAAACAGACCCUUGGAGGGGGUGGGUGGGCUUACCCCCUUCCGUGGGGCGGGUGGUGCACAGAGACAGAGAGAGCGCUCUAGCAGGAAAGCGUCACGUGUGGACCCACGCACCCGUGAU
This is a non-coding RNA of Podarcis lilfordi (Lilford's wall lizard), 366 nucleotides long. Lineage: Eukaryota; Metazoa; Chordata; Lepidosauria; Squamata; Lacertidae. The record is from the annotation of a GenBank genome assembly.